UCUUGCGAUUGAGACUUCAGUGUCCCCUUCGUCUAGAGGCCCAGGACACCGCCCUUUCACGGCGGUAACAGGGGUUCGAAUCCCCUAGGGGACGCCACUUGCUGGUUCGUGAGUGAAAGACGCGUGCCGAACUAUCUCAAAACUCAUCUUCGGGUGACGUUUGAGAUAUUUGCUCUUUAAAAAUCUGGAUCAAGCUGAAAAUUGAAACGACACACAGUUAAUGUGUGUUCGAGUCUCUCAAAUUUUCGCGACACGANNNNNNNNNNNNNNNNNNNNNNNNNNNNNNNNNNNNNNNNNNNNNNNNNNNNNNNNNNNNNNNNNNNNNNNNNNNNNNNNNNNNNNNNNNNNNNNNNNNNNCACUAUCGUUAACUGAAUACAUAGGUUAACGAGGCGAACCGGGGGAACUGAAACAUCUAAGUACCCCGAGGAAAAGAAAUCAACCGAGAUUCCCCCAGUAGCGGCGAGCGAACGGGGAGCAGCCCAGAGUCUGAAUCAGCUUGUGUGUUAGUGGAACGGUCUGGAAAGUCCGACGGUACAGGGUGAUAGUCCCGUACACCAAAAUGCACAGGCUGUGAACUCGAAGAGUAGGGCGGGACACGUGGUAUCCUGUCUGAAUAUGGGGGGACCAUCCUCCAAGGCUAAAUACUCCUGACUGACCGAUAGUGAACCAGUACCGUGAGGGAAAGGCGAAAAGAACCCCGGCGAGGGGAGUGAAAAAGAACCUGAAACCGUGUACGUACAAGCAGUGGGAGCACCUUCGGGUGUGACUGCGUACCUUUUGUAUAAUGGGUCAGCGACUUAUAUUCUGUAGCAAGGUUAACCGUAUAGGGGAGCCGCAGGGAAACCGAGUCUUAACUGGGCGUUAAGUUGCAGGGUAUAGACCCGAAACCCGGUGAUCUAGCCAUGGGCAGGUUGAAGGUUGGGUAACACUAACUGGAGGACCGAACCGACUAAUGUUGAAAAAUUAGCGGAUGACUUGUGGCUGGGGGUGAAAGGCCAAUCAAACCGGGAGAUAGCUGGUUCUCCCCGAAAGCUAUUUAGGUAGCGCCUCGUGAACUCAUCUUCGGGGGUAGAGCACUGUUUCGGCUAGGGGGUCAUCCCGACUUACCAACCCGAUGCAAACUACGAAUACCGAAGAAUGUUAUCACGGGAGACACACGGCGGGUGCUAACGUCCGUCGUGAAGAGGGAAACAACCCAGACCGCCAGCUAAGGUCCCAAAGUCAUGGUUAAGUGGGAAACGAUGUGGGAAGGCACAGACAGCCAGGAUGUUGGCUUAGAAGCAGCCAUCAUUUAAAGAAAGCGUAAUAGCUCACUGGUCGAGUCGGCCUGCGCGGAAGAUGUAACGGGGCUAAACCAUGCACCGAAGCUGCGGCAGCGACACUAUGUGUUGUUGGGUAGGGGAGCGUUCUGUAAGCCUGCGAAGGUGACCUGUGAGGGUUGCUGGAGGUAUCAGAAGUGCGAAUGCUGACAUAAGUAACGAUAAAGCGGGUGAAAAGCCCGCUCGCCGGAAGACCAAGGGUUCCUGUCCAACGUUAAUCGGGGCAGGGUGAGUCGACCCCUAAGGCGAGGCCGAAAGGCGUAGUCGAUGGGAAACAGGUUAAUAUUCCUGUACUUGGUGUUACUGCGAAGGGGGGACGGAGAAGGCUAUGUUAGCCGGGCGACGGUUGUCCCGGUUUAAGCAUGUAGGCUGGUUAUCCAGGCAAAUCCGGAUAAUCAAGGCUGAGGUGUGAUGACGAGGCACUACGGUGCUGAAGUAACAAAUGCCCUGCUUCCAGGAAAAGCCUCUAAGCAUCAGGUAACAUCAAAUCGUACCCCAAACCGACACAGGUGGUCAGGUAGAGAAUACCAAGGCGCUUGAGAGAACUCGGGUGAAGGAACUAGGCAAAAUGGUGCCGUAACUUCGGGAGAAGGCACGCUGGUGUGUAGGUGAAGUCCCUGCGGAUGGAGCUGAGACCAGUCGAAGAUACCAGCUGGCUGCAACUGUUUAUUAAAAACACAGCACUGUGCAAACACGAAAGUGGACGUAUACGGUGUGACGCCUGCCCGGUGCCGGAAGGUUAAUUGAUGGGGUUAUCCGUAAGGAGAAGCUCUUGAUCGAAGCCCCGGUAAACGGCGGCCGUAACUAUAACGGUCCUAAGGUAGCGAAAUUCCUUGUCGGGUAAGUUCCGACCUGCACGAAUGGCGUAAUGAUGGCCAGGCUGUCUCCACCCGAGACUCAGUGAAAUUGAACUCGCUGUGAAGAUGCAGUGUACCCGCGGCAAGACGGAAAGACCCCGUGAACCUUUACUAUAGCUUGACACUGAACAUUGAGCCUUGAUGUGUAGGAUAGGUGGGAGGCUUUGAAGCGUGGACGCCAGUCUGCGUGGAGCCAACCUUGAAAUACCACCCUUUAAUGUUUGAUGUUCUAACGUUGGCCCCUUAUCGGGGUUGCGGACAGUGUCUGGUGGGUAGUUUGACUGGGGCGGUCUCCUCCCAAAGCGUAACGGAGGAGCACGAAGGUUAGCUAAUCCUGGUCGGACAUCAGGAGGUUAGUGCAAUGGCAUAAGCUAGCUUGACUGCGAGCGUGACGGCGCGAGCAGGUGCGAAAGCAGGUCAUAGUGAUCCGGUGGUUCUGAAUGGAAGGGCCAUCGCUCAACGGAUAAAAGGUACUCCGGGGAUAACAGGCUGAUACCGCCCAAGAGUUCAUAUCGACGGCGGUGUUUGGCACCUCGAUGUCGGCUCAUCACAUCCUGGGGCUGAAGUAGGUCCCAAGGGUAUGGCUGUUCGCCAUUUAAAGUGGUACGCGAGCUGGGUUUAGAACGUCGUGAGACAGUUCGGUCCCUAUCUGCCGUGGGCGCUGGAGAAUUGAGGGGGGCUGCUCCUAGUACGAGAGGACCGGAGUGGACGCAUCACUGGUGUUCGGGUUGUCAUGCCAAUGGCACUGCCCGGUAGCUAAAUGCGGAAGAGAUAAGUGCUGAAAGCAUCUAAGCACGAAACUUGCCCCGAGAUGAGUUCUCCCUGAGACUUUAAGUCUCCUGAAGGAACGUUAAAGACGACGACGUUGAUAGGCCGGGUGUGUAAGCGCAGCGAUGCGUUGAGCUAACCGGUACUAAUGAACCGUGAGGCUUAACCUU
RNAcentral lists this ribosomal RNA (3115 nucleotides) under Klebsiella quasipneumoniae. RNAcentral describes it as "23S ribosomal RNA". It matches the Rfam family "Bacterial large subunit ribosomal RNA". Lineage: Bacteria; Pseudomonadati; Pseudomonadota; Gammaproteobacteria; Enterobacterales; Enterobacteriaceae. The record is from RNAcentral.